Long non-coding RNA from Mytilus californianus (California mussel), 573 nucleotides. RefSeq lists it as uncharacterized. The transcript has 3 exons. The record is from RefSeq and is a predicted model, not a curated record. Lineage: Eukaryota; Metazoa; Mollusca; Bivalvia; Mytilida; Mytilidae.
UGAAAGCUGUCAUACCAGAGACGAUAUGUUUGAAGCUAUAAGUCCUGGUUCAUAUCACCAAAUGAUAUUAACAAAUGCAUGAAAGUAGUGUGCAGUGCCAUGAAAUAUAGUGUUCUUUUUGUAGAUGUGUCAUUUUCUGCGGAUUGUAUUGGACUACGGAAUGGUAAUUACCAGUUAAACUGCCGGACGUAUAAAACAUGUAUCAACAGUACUGCAGCAGUCCACAACUGCCCUACACCUCCAGCAUUAGAUACUGUUUUCAACAAUGUGACGCGAAAAUGUGACAAACCAAUUAAUGUCCCUUUACCAUGUGGUGGCUACAAUUAUGACUGUUCAAGUAAAGCAGAUGGCGAUUUUGCUGAUUUGCAAACCAAUUGUACUUCGUUUGCUGUUUGUUAUAGCGGGAAAUUAGCAGGAUAUCAACAUUGUCCAGCAAAUUUGGUAUUUGAUGCAGCAAAACAGACUUGUAAUUGGGUCGGGAGAGUCCCGCCACCGUGUGGUACCAAAGUUUGACCAUUGCUCAUAUAAUCACGCUCAGUUCCUCCAGUUUGGCAAAUAAAACACUUCUAUAUG